AAAUACUACCCAGUGACCGAUAGCGUAUAGUACUGUGAAGGAAAGGUGAAAAGAACCCCGGGAGGGGAGUGAAAAGAACCUGAAACCUUAUGCUUACAAGCACCGAGAGCCCAUCAAAGGGUGAUCGGGUACCUUUUGUAGAAUGGUCCGGCGAGUGAAUGUAACUGGCAAGGUUAAGCACUUCAGGUGUGGAGCCGAAGCGAAAGCAAGUCUUAAUAGGGCGUCAAGUCAGUUGUAUUCGACCCGAAACCGUGUGACCUAGCCAUGAGCAGGCUGAAGUGGAGGUAAAACUCCAUGGAGGGCCGAACCCACUCCCGUUGAAAUGGUAGGGGAUGACUUGUGGCUAGCGGAGAAAUUCCAAUCGAACUCGGAGAUAGCUGGUUCUCUCCGAAAUAGCUUUAGGGCUAGCCUCGAUUUGACAUUACCGGAGGUAAAGCACUGAAUGGGCUAGGGGCCGAGAGGUUACUGAACCCUAUCAAACUAAGAAUGCCGGAUAAUGAUAAUCGGGAGUCAGACAGUGUGAGAUAAGUUUCAUUGUCAAAAGGGAAACAGCCCAGACCCACAGCUAAGGUCCCAAAGUACAGUUAAGUGGUGAAGGAUGUGGAAUUGCAUAGACAACCAGGAUGUUGGCUUAGAAGCAGCCACUCAUUAAAAGAGUGCGUAAUAGCUCACUGGUCGAGUGAUUCUGCGCCGAAAAUUUAACGGGGCUAAAUUGUACACCGAAGCUUGGGAUACAUCUAAUGUAUGGUAGGAGAGCGUUGUAUACGGGGUGAAGUCAGAGCGGAAGCGCUGGUGGACUGUAUACAAGUGAGAAUGCCGGAAUGAGUAGCGAGAAUUAUGUGAGAAUCAUAAUGGCCGAAAGACUAAGGUUUUAGAAGGAAGGUUCGUCCGCUUCUAGUCAGCCGGGAGCUAAGGCGAGGCCGAAAGGCGUAGUCGAUGCACAUACGGUGGAGAUUCCGUAGCCGCCAUUAAUUUAAACAGAGGGACACUUUCAAGGGGCAUGACCCGGGCGUUGGUAGACCCGGGCGUAAGGGACCGAAGAUUAGUAGGGAAGCAUGCUUUAAGGAAGGCGAGAAAAGCUCUGUGUAUAGAAGAUGGCGCCCGUACCGCAAACCGACACAGGUAGUCAGGAAGAGAAUUCUAAGGCCAACGGGAGAAGGGUAGUUAAGGAACUCGGCAAAUUGACCCCGUAACUUCGGAAUAAGGGGUGCUCACGAGAGUGAGCCGCAGUGAAUAGGUCCAGGCGACUGUUUAUCAAAAACACAGCUCUCUGCUAAAUCGAAAGAUGACGUAUAGGGGGUGACACCUGCCCGGUGCUGGAAGGUUAAGAGGAAGGGUGCAAGCUCUGAAUUGAAGCCCCAGUAAACGGCGGCCGUAACUAUAACGGUCCUAAGGUAGCGAAAUUCCUUGUCGGGUAAGUUCCGACCCGCACGAAUGGUGUAACGAUCUGGACACUGUCUCAACUACCCACCCGGCGAAAUUGUAGUACCGGUGAAGAUGCCGGUUACCCGCGGCAAGACGGAAAGACCCCAUGGAGCUUUACUGUAACCUGAUAUUGGGUUUCGGUAUUUUAUGUACAGGAUAGGUGGGAGACUAUGAAACUAAGGCGCCAGCCUUAGCGGAGUCGCCCUUGGGAUACCACUCUUAAAGUACUGAAAUUCUAACCUGCGGCCGUGAAUCCGGUCGGGGGACAUUGUCAGGCGGGCAGUUUGACUGGGGCGGUCGCCUCCAAAAGAGUAACGGAGGCGCUCAAAGGUUCGCUCAGCAUGGUCGGAAACCAUGCCUUAGAGUGUAAACGCAAAAGCGAGCCUAACUGCGAGGCUGACGGGCCGAGCAGUAACGAAAGUUGGAGUUAGUGAUCCGGCGGUAUGUGAAUGGAAAUGCCGUCGCUCAACGGAUAAAAGCUACCCUGGGGAUAACAGGCUGAUCUCCCCCAAGAGUCCACAUCGACGGGGA
This 1956-nucleotide ribosomal RNA is filed under the name human gut metagenome. RNAcentral describes it as "bacterial LSU rRNA". It matches the Rfam family "Bacterial large subunit ribosomal RNA", at positions 468 to 2514 of the family's 2925-position model. The record is from RNAcentral.